This is a non-coding RNA of Podarcis lilfordi (Lilford's wall lizard), 75 nucleotides long. The record is from the annotation of a GenBank genome assembly. Lineage: Eukaryota; Metazoa; Chordata; Lepidosauria; Squamata; Lacertidae.
GCCAAGAUAGCUCAGUUGGUAGAGCAUGAGACUUAAUCUCAAGGUUGUGGGUUGGACAAGAUGACCCUCAUGGUC